GACAGAGGCCUCGAGCGUUAGGCGGAAUCACUGGGCUUAAAGCGUGUGUAGGCGGAUCGUUAAGUGCCUUGUGAAAUCCCACGGCUUAACUGUGGAACGGCUGGGCAUACUGGCGGUCUUGAGCCAUCUAGGGGCGACUGGAACAAACGGUGGAGCGGUGAAAUGCGUAGAUAUCGUUUGGAACGCCAAUGGUGAAAACAGGUCGCUGGGGAUGAGCUGACGCUGAGACACGAAAGCGUGGGUAGCAAACAGG
Molecule: ribosomal RNA, 253 nt
Filed under: uncultured bacterium
Lineage: Bacteria
Description: partial 16S ribosomal RNA
Rfam family: Bacterial small subunit ribosomal RNA
Source: RNAcentral